GGAACUUUUCGGACGGCGCGGGCCCGGGG
Molecule: small RNA, 29 nt
Filed under: Bombyx mori (domestic silkworm)
Lineage: Eukaryota; Metazoa; Arthropoda; Insecta; Lepidoptera; Bombycidae
Description: ovarian small RNA-5419
Source: RNAcentral